Molecule: ribosomal RNA, 24 nt
Filed under: Conus pulicarius
Lineage: Eukaryota; Metazoa; Mollusca; Gastropoda; Neogastropoda; Conidae
Description: partial 28S ribosomal RNA
Source: RNAcentral
UCCGACCUCAGAUCGGACGAGAUA